This is a long non-coding RNA of Monopterus albus (swamp eel), 500 nucleotides long. RefSeq lists it as uncharacterized. The record is from RefSeq and is a predicted model, not a curated record. NCBI's taxonomy places the organism in Eukaryota, Metazoa, Chordata, Actinopteri, Synbranchiformes, Synbranchidae. The transcript has 5 exons.
UGCCUGGUUAGCAUUAGCAUUGGUUCAGGCCAGUGAUUGAAAUAACAAACAGGCUUAUGUUUCUACAUGACAGUAAGUUUGUUGGACUAAUGCAUGGGUGGAAUUUGUUCAUUGGAAUCUUGUGACAAAAACGGUGUCCAACUAUGGCCACAUGGAUUUUGGCUACAAGCAACCAGGAAAGCAUUAGUUUUACUCUGCAUGGGAAAUUCUGUCUGAAGACCAGAAACACAAAGGCUGUUUUACACCAGGGCCGCUGGCAGGACAGGAAGGACAGGAAGUUAAGAGUUUAUGUGGCAACUUUAGGCUGUGUUGGGUCCAGCAGCUCCAUCAUGUAAUCUGUGUCAACCUGUAAGGUGACCACAUCACUACGGAGCAGCACCCAUGUCAGGCAGGGCAAGAAAUCAUCUGCUCCAAAAACGCAGGCGCAGGUUGCUUUGGAGACGCCCGAAGGUGCCAUCAUUGGUCCGGGAGGUGUGAAUACAGGAGCAGAGGUGCGCGGA